ACCUGGGUGGCUCAGUCGGUUAAGCGUCUGACUUUGGCUCAGGUCAUGAUCUCGUUGUCCGUGGGUUCGAGCCCCGCGUCGGGCU
Non-coding RNA from Felis catus (domestic cat), 85 nucleotides. The record is from Rfam. NCBI's taxonomy places the organism in Eukaryota, Metazoa, Chordata, Mammalia, Carnivora, Felidae.